GAUGGGUCCGCGUCCGAUUAGCUGGUUGGUAGGGUAAUGGCCUACCAAGGCGACGAUCGGUAGCUGGUCUGAGAGGACGGUCAGCCACACUGGGAUUGAGAACGGCCCAGACUCCUACGGGAGGCAGCAGUGAGGAAUUUUCGGCAAUGGGCGCAAGCCUGACCGAGCAGCGCCGCGUGCAGGAGGAAGCGCUUCGGCGCGUAAACUGCUUUUCUGCGGGACGAAUAAGGACGGUACCGCAGGAAGAAGCCCCGGCUAACUACGUGCCAGCAGCCGCGGUAAGACGUAGGGGGCGAGCGUUGUCCGGAAUUAUUGGGCGUAAAGGGCACGCAGGCGGUUUGUCAAGUUCGAGAUAACAGUCACCAGCUUCACUGGUGAAGGGCCUCGAAAACUGAUAGACUCGAGGGCCAGAGAGGGACCUGGAAUUCCGGGUGGAGCAGUGAAAUGCGUAGAGAUCCGGAGG
RNAcentral lists this ribosomal RNA (463 nucleotides) under uncultured Chloroflexota bacterium. Its description in RNAcentral is "bacterial SSU rRNA". It matches the Rfam family "Bacterial small subunit ribosomal RNA", at positions 224 to 704 of the family's 1533-position model. The record is from RNAcentral. Lineage: Bacteria; Bacillati; Chloroflexota.